UUGUAGUAUCUGCCUGAGAAUUUCUUGAAAAACUGAUCGCGAGCUAGUAAAAAAAAAUGUUCAGUCGUUCCACAACAUUCUCUCUCCUUCCUCGUUGUGCUAUCACACAGAACUCUGAAUUUUGCAGUCUACUUCCUUUGAGCUUUUCAACUCUCUGGGGCGGUGAAGUUCAUCCAUUUCUCCAAGAGAAGAGAAAAGAUAGGGAAGCAACAUCAUAUGAAGUCAUGUGAACACAACUUUUGUCCCUGUAGGGAGGACAAUUGUAUUUUUCCCUCAGAAAUGAACUUUAAUAUAGAAAUAUGUCAUGGGCAUUUCGAAUCAGAAAGGAACUUCAAUAUAGAAAUAUGUCAUGGGCAUUUCGAAUCAGAAAGGAACUUC
This 378-nucleotide unclassified non-coding RNA is filed under the name Hevea brasiliensis (rubber tree). The record is from RNAcentral. Lineage: Eukaryota; Viridiplantae; Streptophyta; Magnoliopsida; Malpighiales; Euphorbiaceae.